GACAGAGGGUGCAAACGUUGCUCGGAAUUACUGGGCGUAAAGCGCGUGUAGGCUGACUCGUGUGUCGGGCGUGAAAUCCCUGGGCUCAACCCAGGAACUGCACUCGAAACUGCGAGUCUAGAGUGGUGGAGAGGGUAGUGGAAUUCCUGGUGUAGAGGUGAAAUUCGUAGAUAUUCGGAAGAACACCAGUGGCGAAGGCGACUUACUGGACGAUUGUUGACGCUGAGGUGCGAAAGCGUGGGGAGCAAACAGG
RNAcentral lists this ribosomal RNA (253 nucleotides) under uncultured bacterium. Its description in RNAcentral is "partial 16S ribosomal RNA". It matches the Rfam family "Bacterial small subunit ribosomal RNA", at positions 524 to 776 of the family's 1533-position model. The record is from RNAcentral.